UAGGGAAUAUUGGACAAUGGGCGAAAGCCUGAUCCAGCAAUGCCGCGUGAGUGAUGAAGGCCUUAGGGUUGUAAAGCUUCUUUACCCGAGAUG
RNAcentral lists this ribosomal RNA (93 nucleotides) under uncultured bacterium. RNAcentral's name for it is "partial 16S ribosomal RNA". It matches the Rfam family "Bacterial small subunit ribosomal RNA", at positions 355 to 447 of the family's 1533-position model. The record is from RNAcentral.